Molecule: long non-coding RNA, 238 nt
Organism: Ailuropoda melanoleuca (giant panda)
Lineage: Eukaryota; Metazoa; Chordata; Mammalia; Carnivora; Ursidae
Exons: 3
Source: RefSeq, a predicted model, not a curated record
AGGGGAAAAGCUCUCAGUUUUUCACCACUGAAGAUGAUUCCAGGUGUGGAUUUUUCAUGUACGGCCUUUAUUUUGUUGAGUGUUUUUAUCUGGUUUUGAUAUCAGCAUAAUGCAGACUUCAUGGGUUGAAUCAGGAAGCAUCAUUCUGCUUCCAUUUUUCGCAACAGUUUGAGAAAAAAUUUUUCUUGUGGUUGAUUUCUAGUUUCAGAGCAUUGUGAUCAGAAAAGAUGGCUGGUAU